Molecule: ribosomal RNA, 3162 nt
Filed under: Paenarthrobacter ureafaciens
Lineage: Bacteria; Bacillati; Actinomycetota; Actinomycetes; Micrococcales; Micrococcaceae
Description: 23S ribosomal RNA
Rfam family: Bacterial large subunit ribosomal RNA
Source: RNAcentral
UGUGGUCAAGUUUUUAAGGGCGCACGGUGGAUGCCUUGGCAUUAGGAGCCGAAGAAGGACGUAGGAAUCUGCGAUAAGCCUGGGGGAGUUGAUAACCGAGCGGUGAUCCCAGGAUGUCCGAAUGGGGAAACCCCGCACAACGCUGCAAGGUGAUUGUGUGACCCGUGCCUGAAUUCAUAGGGUGCGUGGGGGGAACGCGGGGAAGUGAAACAUCUCAGUACCCGCAGGAAGAGAAAACAAGAGUGAUUCCGUUAGUAGUGGCGAGCGAACGCGGAUGAGGCUAAACCGUUCCAUGUGUGAUAGCCGGCGGGCGUUGCGUGGGCGGGGUUGUGGGACUUUCCGUGCUGGUUCUGCCGGACCGGUGGGGUGUGGGUGUGCGUAUAGGUGAGCGGUCUUGAAAGGCCGGCCAGAGAGGGUGUGAGUCCCGUAACCGUAAUGUGUGGCACCGCCUUUGGAGAGGAUCCCAAGUAGCACGGGGCCCGAGAAAUCCCGUGUGAAUCUGUCAGGACCACCUGAUAAGCCUAAAUACUUCCUAAUGACCGAUAGCGGACCAGUACCGUGAGGGAAAGGUGAAAAGUACCCCGGGAGGGGAGUGAAACAGUACCUGAAACCGUGUGCUUACAAUCCGUCAGAGCAUCUGCAGCCCUUCGGGGUUGUAUGGGUGUGAUGGCGUGCCUUUUGAAGAAUGAGCCUGCGAGUUAGUGUUACGUCGCGAGGUUAACCCGUGUGGGGAAGCCGUAGCGAAAGCGAGUCUGAACAGGGCGUGUUCAGUGGCGUGAUCUAGACCCGAAGCGGAGUGAUCUACCCAUGGCCAGGUUGAAGCGACGGUAAGACGUCGUGGAGGACCGAACCCACUUCAGUUGAAAAUGGAGGGGAUGAGCUGUGGGUAGGGGUGAAAGGCCAAUCAAACUCCGUGAUAGCUGGUUCUCCCCGAAAUGCAUUUAGGUGCAGCGUUGCGUGUUUCUUGCCGGAGGUAGAGCUACUGGAUGGCCGAUGGGCCCUACAAGGUUACUGACGUCAGCCAAACUCCGAAUGCCGGUAAGUCAGAGCGCAGCAGUGAGACUGUGGGGAUAAGCUUCAUAGUCGAGAGGGAAACAGCCCAGACCACCAACUAAGGCCCCUAAGCGUGUGCUAAGUGGGAAAGGAUGUGGAGUUGCUUAGACAACCAGGAGGUUGGCUUAGAAGCAGCCAUCCUUGAAAGAGUGCGUAAUAGCUCACUGGUCAAGUGAUUCCGCGCCGACAAUGUAGCGGGGCUCAAGUACACCGCCGAAGUUGUGGCAUUCACGCAUUACCCUAGCCUUCGUGGUUCAGGGGUGUGGAUGGGUAGGGGAGCGUCGUGUGGGCGGUGAAGUCGCGGUGUAAACCAGCGGUGGAGCCUACACGAGUGAGAAUGCAGGCAUGAGUAGCGAAAGACGGGUGAGAAACCCGUCCGCCGAAUGAUCAAGGGUUCCAGGGUCAAGCUAAUCUGCCCUGGGUAAGUCGGGACCUAAGGCGAGGCCGACAGGCGUAGUCGAUGGACAACGGGUUGAUAUUCCCGUACCGGCGAAAAACCGCCCAUGUUGAACGGGGGAUACUAACCACCGCCGGUCUUUCUUGUUGCGCCACUUGUGGUGUGAUGGUUGGGCUGGUGCUGGGACCUGAUCCCGGGAGGCAAGCGUAUUAACAGGUGUGACGCAGGAAGGUAGCCGGGCCGGGCGAUGGUAGCCCCGGUCCAAGGAUGUAGGGUCAGGGAUAGGCAAAUCCGUUCCUGUGUGUUUCGAGCACGAUCCUGAGAUCUGAUGGGACUCCCGCAUGGGGGAUCCGGUGAUCCUAUGCUGCCUAGAAAAGCAUCGACGCGAGGUUUUAGCCGCCCGUACCCCAAACCGACACAGGUGAUCAGGUAGAGAAUACCAAGGCGAUCGAGAGAAUUAUGGUUAAGGAACUCGGCAAAAUGCCCCCGUAACUUCGGGAGAAGGGGGCCUGCCCCGUGAUACAGACUUGCUUUGUGGAGCGGGUGUGGGCCGCAGAGACCAGGGGGAAGCGACUGUUUACUAAAAACACAGGUCCGUGCGAAGUCGCAAGACGAUGUAUACGGACUGACUCCUGCCCGGUGCUGGAAGGUUAAGAGGACCGGUUAGCCCCUUGCGGGCGAAGCUGGGAAUUUAAGCCCCAGUAAACGGCGGUGGUAACUAUAACCAUCCUAAGGUAGCGAAAUUCCUUGUCGGGUAAGUUCCGACCUGCACGAAUGGAGUAACGACUUCCCCGCUGUCUCAACCAUAAACUCGGCGAAAUUGCAGUACGAGUAAAGAUGCUCGUUACGCGCAGCAGGACGGAAAGACCCCGAGACCUUUACUAUAGUUUGGUAUUGGUGUUCGGAGUGGCUUGUGUAGGAUAGGUGGGAGACGUUGAAACCCGGACGCCAGUUCGGGUGGAGUCAUCGUUGAAAUACCACUCUGGUCACUUUGGACAUCUAACUUCGGCCCGUGAUCCGGGUCAGGGACAGUGCCUGAUGGGUAGUUUAACUGGGGCGGUUGCCUCCUAAAAAGUAACGGAGGCGCCCAAAGGUUCCCUCAGCCUGGUUGGCAAUCAGGUGUCGAGUGUAAGUGCACAAGGGAGCUUGACUGUGAGAGAGACAUCUCAAGCAGGGACGAAAGUCGGGACUAGUGAUCCGGCGGUACAUUGUGGAAUGGCCGUCGCUCAACGGAUAAAAGGUACCUCGGGGAUAACAGGCUGAUCUUGCCCAAGAGUCCAUAUCGACGGCAUGGUUUGGCACCUCGAUGUCGGCUCGUCGCAUCCUGGGGCUGGAGUAGGUCCCAAGGGUUGGGCUGUUCGCCCAUUAAAGCGGUACGCGAGCUGGGUUUAGAACGUCGUGAGACAGUUCGGUCCCUAUCCGCUGCGCGCGCAGGAAAUUUGAGAAGGGCUGUCCUUAGUACGAGAGGACCGGGACGGACGAACCUCUGGUGUGUCAGUUGUACUGCCAAGUGCACCGCUGAUUAGCUACGUUCGGAUGGGAUAACCGCUGAAAGCAUCUAAGCGGGAAGCUCGCUUCAAGAUGAGAUUUCCAAACACAUUAUGUGUGAGAGGCCCCCAGCCAGACCACUGGGUUGAUAGGCCGGAUGUGGAAGCGAGGACUAAAGACUCGUGAAGCUGACCGGUACUAAUAGGCCAACAACUUACACCACA